This is a small nuclear RNA of Jaculus jaculus (lesser Egyptian jerboa), 106 nucleotides long. Lineage: Eukaryota; Metazoa; Chordata; Mammalia; Rodentia; Dipodidae. The record is from Ensembl.
GUGCUCAUUUCAGUAGCACCUAUACUAAAAUUGGAAUGCUAUAGAGAAAUAAGCAUGGUCCCUGUAAAUGGGUAACAUGCAAAUUCUUGAAACAUUUCAUAUGUUU